UUAUAAGCUCUAUGCAGUUAGUCUUGUAAACUAAAAGAAGAGGUUAAAACCCUUACUAAGGCU
RNAcentral lists this transfer RNA (63 nucleotides) under Antedon mediterranea. Its description in RNAcentral is "transfer RNA-Thr". Lineage: Eukaryota; Metazoa; Echinodermata; Crinoidea; Comatulida; Antedonidae. The record is from RNAcentral.